Molecule: long non-coding RNA, 310 nt
Organism: Engraulis encrasicolus (European anchovy)
Lineage: Eukaryota; Metazoa; Chordata; Actinopteri; Clupeiformes; Engraulidae
Exons: 3
Source: RefSeq, a predicted model, not a curated record
CCAGAGGUGACUCUAAAGCUGUCUGCUACAACAGCACCUAUAAGCAUACGUUAGUGGAUCUCUGUGAACAGAGAAGAUGUGUGAAGUUCCUUGGCUGGGAAGAGUCUAAUCGCACAAGUGAUGGAUUGCAUGUUGAUGAUUCUGGAGGAUUGAAAAACCAGAGCUGCACUGAACUUUUAAUUCACUGCAAAGCCCCUCAUACCACCACUUCACCAAGAGAAACAUCUCAAGUCCCUCGAUCCCACAAAGAUUCAUCUUCUGUAGUGGACCGUACCAGUGAGCUGGUAGCAUAUAAGGUGGUCACGGGCCU